UAGGAAGCAUUAUGCCCAAUAUGCCCUUAAU
Molecule: non-coding RNA, 31 nt
Filed under: Rattus norvegicus (Norway rat)
Lineage: Eukaryota; Metazoa; Chordata; Mammalia; Rodentia; Muridae
Source: RNAcentral